This 846-nucleotide ribosomal RNA is filed under the name uncultured archaeon. RNAcentral describes it as "bacterial SSU rRNA". It matches the Rfam family "Archaeal small subunit ribosomal RNA", at positions 1 to 847 of the family's 1478-position model. The record is from RNAcentral.
GCCCUUUUCCGGUUGAUCCUGCCGGAAGUUACUGCUAUCGAGGUUCGACUAAGCCAUGCGAGUCGAAUGUAGCAAUACAUGGCGAACUGCUCAGUAGCACGUGGACAACCUGCCCUUAGGACGGGGAUAAACCCGGGAAACUGGGUAUAAUACCCGAUAGGUCUCGAUUGCUGGAAUGCAUCGAGAUUUAAAGCUCCGGCGCCUAAGGAUGGGUCUGCGGUCUAUCAGGUAGUAGUGGGUGUAGCGUACCUACUAGCCUACGACGGGUACGGGUUGUGAGAGCAAGAGCCCGGAGAUGGAUUCUGAGACACGAAUCCAGGCCCUACGGGGUGCAGCAGGCGCGAAAACUUUACAAUGCUGGCAACAGCGAUAAGGGAACCUCGAGUGCCAGGUUACAAAUCUGGCUGUCGAGAUGCCUAAAAAGCAUUUCAUAGCAAGGGCCGGGCAAGACCGGUGCCAGCCGCCGCGGUAACACCGGCGGCUCGAGUGGUAACCGUUAUUAUUGGGUCUAAAGGGCCUGUAGCCGGCCGGAUAAGUCUCUUGAGAAAUCUGGCAGCUUAACUGUCAGGCUUUCAGGAGAUACUGUCUGGCUCGAGGCCGGGAGAGGUGAGGGGUACUUCAGGGGUAGGGGUGAAAUCUUGUAAUCCUUGAAGGACCACCAGUGGCGAAGGCGUCUCACCAGAACGGACCUGACGGCAAGGGACGAAAGCUAGGGGCACGAACCGGAUUAGAUACCCGGGUAGUCCUAGCCGUAAACGAUACUCGCUAGGUGUCGGCCACGGUGCGACCGUUGUCGGUGCCGUGGGGAAGCCGUGAAGCGAGCCACCUGGGAAGUACGGCCGCAAG